This 468-nucleotide ribosomal RNA is filed under the name uncultured bacterium. RNAcentral describes it as "partial 16S ribosomal RNA". It matches the Rfam family "Bacterial small subunit ribosomal RNA", at positions 28 to 507 of the family's 1533-position model. The record is from RNAcentral.
GAUGAACGCUGGCGGCGUGCUUAACACAUGCCAGUCGAACGGUGAAGGCGGAGCUUGCUCUGCUGGAUCAGUGGCGAACGGGUGAGUAACACGUGAGCAAUCUGCCCCUGACUCUGGGAUAAGCGCUGGAAACGGCGUCUAAUACUGGAUACGAGCUGCGAAGGCAUCUUCAGCAGCUGGAAAGAACUUCGGUCAGGGAUGAGCUCGCGGCCUAUCAGCUUGUUGGUGAGGUAACGGCUCACCAAGGCGUCGACGGGUAGCCGGCCUGGGAGGGUGACCGGCCACACUGGGCCUGAGACACGGCCCAGACUCCUACGGGAGGCAGCAGUGGGGAAUAGUGCACAGUGGGCGAGAGCCUGAUGCAGCAACGCCGCGUGGGGGACGACGGCCUUCGGGUUGUAAACCUCUGUUAGCAGGGAAGAAGCGAAAGUGACGGUACCUGCAGAAAAAGCGCCGGCUAACUACGUG